CAGCAGCCACGGGAAUACGUAGGGUGCGAGCGUUAAUCGGAAUUACUGGGCGUAAAGCGUGCGCAGGCGGUUCGUCAAGACAGAUGUGAAAUCCUCGGGCUUAACCUGGGAACUGCAUUUGUGACUGGCGAGCUAGAGUAUGGCAGAGGGGGGUAGAAUUCCACGUGUAGCAGUGAAAUGCGUAGAGAUGUGGAGGAAUACCGAUGGCGAAGGCAGCCCCCUGGGCCAAUACUGACGCUCAUGCACGAAAGCGUGGGGAGCAAACAGGAUUAGAUACCCGUGUAGUCCCUGUCUCUUAUAC
This 301-nucleotide ribosomal RNA is filed under the name uncultured bacterium. RNAcentral's name for it is "partial 16S ribosomal RNA". It matches the Rfam family "Bacterial small subunit ribosomal RNA", at positions 509 to 807 of the family's 1533-position model. The record is from RNAcentral.